This 483-nucleotide ribosomal RNA is filed under the name uncultured bacterium. RNAcentral's name for it is "partial 16S ribosomal RNA". It matches the Rfam family "Bacterial small subunit ribosomal RNA", at positions 30 to 507 of the family's 1533-position model. The record is from RNAcentral.
UUGAACGCUGGCGGCAGGCCUAACACCUGCAAGUCGCGCGGAUGAAGGGAGCUUGCUCCUGGAUUCAGCGGCGGACGGGUGAGUAAUGCCUAGGAAUCUGCCUGGUAGUGGGGGAUAACGUCCGGAAACGGGCGCUAAUACCGCAUACGUCCUGAGGGAGAAAGUGGGGGAUCUUCGGACCUCACGCUAUCAGAUGAGCCUAGGUCGGAUUAGCUAGUUGGUGGGGUAAAGGCCUACCAAGGCGACGAUCCGUAACUGGCCUGAGAGGAUGAUCAGUCACACUGGAACUGAGACACGGUCCAGACUCCUACGGGAGGCAGCAGUGGGGAAUAUUGGACAAUGGGCGAAAGCCUGAUCCAGCCAUGCCGCGUGUGUGAAGAAGGUCUUCGGAUUGUAAAGCACUUUAAGUUGGGAGGAAGGGCAGUAAGUUAAUACCUUGCUGUUUUGACGUUACCAACAGAAUAAGCACCGGCUAACUUCGUG